This 339-nucleotide ribosomal RNA is filed under the name uncultured bacterium. RNAcentral's name for it is "bacterial SSU rRNA". It matches the Rfam family "Bacterial small subunit ribosomal RNA", at positions 24 to 355 of the family's 1533-position model. The record is from RNAcentral.
UCAGAACGAACGCUGGCGGCGCGCUUAAUACAUGCAAGUCGAGCGAGACCCAAGGCUUCGGCCUUGGGGACAGCGGCGAACGGGUGAGUAACACGUGGGUAAUCAACCCCUGCCACCGGGAUAGCCCAGGGAAACUUGGAUUAAUACCGGAUGCCCCAUCUGGCUUUCGAGCCGGCUGGAAAAGGGUAGCUUCGGCCUCCGGUCGGGGACGAGCCCGCGGCGGAUUAGCUUGUUGGUGAGGUAAAGGCUCACCAAGGCGACGAUCAGUAGCUGGUCUGAGAGGAUGAUCAGCCUCACUGGGACUGAGACACGGCCCAGGAUCCUACGGGAGGCAGCAGU